This 253-nucleotide ribosomal RNA is filed under the name uncultured bacterium. RNAcentral's name for it is "partial 16S ribosomal RNA". It matches the Rfam family "Bacterial small subunit ribosomal RNA", at positions 524 to 776 of the family's 1533-position model. The record is from RNAcentral.
UACGUAGGGAGCAAGCGUUGCUCGGAAUCACUGGGCGUAAAGGGUGCGUAGGCGGCCUGCUAAGUCGGACGUGAAAUCCCUCGGCUCAACCGGGGAACUGCGUCCGAUACUGGUGGGCUCGAAUCCGGGAGAGGGAUGUGGAAUUCCAGGUGUAGCGGUGAAAUGCGUAGAUAUCUGGAGGAACACCGGUGGCGAAGGCGGCAUCCUGGACCGGUAUUGACGCUGAUGCGCGAAAGCCAGGGGAGCAAACGGG